Molecule: ribosomal RNA, 2903 nt
Filed under: Proteus mirabilis
Lineage: Bacteria; Pseudomonadati; Pseudomonadota; Gammaproteobacteria; Enterobacterales; Morganellaceae
Description: 23S ribosomal RNA
Rfam family: Bacterial large subunit ribosomal RNA
Source: RNAcentral
GGUUAAGCGAAUAAGCGUACACGGUGGAUGCCUAGGCAAUCAGAGGCGAUGAAGGACGUGCUAAUCUGCGAAAAGCGUCGGUAAGGUGAUAUGAACCGUUAUACCCGACGAUAUCCGAAUGGGGAAACCCAGUAUCCAAUGGAUACUAUCAUUAACUGAAUCCAUAGGUUAAUGAGGCGAACCGGGAGAACUGAAACAUCUCAGUACCCCGAGGAAAAGAAAUCAACCGAGAUUCCCCUAGUAGCGGCGAGCGAACGGGGAGCAGCCCAGAGUCUUAAUCAAUAGCAGUGUCAGGAGAACGGUCUGGAAAGUCCGGCAGUAAAGGGUGAUAGCCCCGUAUCUGAAGAUGCUGUUAUUGUGAACUCGAUGAGUAGGGCGGGACACGUGUUAUCCUGUCUGAAUAUGGGGGGACCAUCCUCCAAGGCUAAAUACUCCUGAUUGACCGAUAGUGAACCAGUACCGUGAGGGAAAGGCGAAAAGAACCCCGGCGAGGGGAGUGAAAAAGAACCUGAAACCGUGUACGUACAAGCAGUAGGAGCCUCUUUAUGGGGUGACUGCGUACCUUUUGUAUAAUGGGUCAGCGACUUAUAUUCUGUAGCAAGGUUAACCGUAUAGGGGAGCCGUAGGGAAACCGAGUCUUAACUGGGCGAAUGAGUUGCAGGGUAUAGACCCGAAACCCGGUGAUCUAUCCAUGGGCAGGUUGAAGGUUGGGUAACACUAACUGGAGGACCGAACCGACUAAUGUUGAAAAAUUAGCGGAUGACUUGUGGAUGGGGGUGAAAGGCCAAUCAAACCGGGAGAUAGCUGGUUCUCCCCGAAAGCUAUUUAGGUAGCGCCUCGUGAACUCAUCUUCGGGGGUAGAGCACUGUUUCGACUAGGGGGUCAUCCCGACUUACCAACUCGAUGCAAACUGCGAAUACCGAAGAAUGUUAUCACGGGAGACACACGGCGGGUGCUAACGUCCGUCGUGAAGAGGGAAACAACCCAGACCGCCAGCUAAGGUCCCAAAGUCAUGGUUAAGUGGGAAACGAAGUGGGAAGGCUCAGACAGCCAGGAUGUUGGCUUAGAAGCAGCCAUCAUUUAAAGAAAGCGUAAUAGCUCACUGGUCGAGUCGGCCCGCGCGGAAGAUGUAACGGGGCUAAACCAUGCACCGAAGCUGCGGCAGCGACACAAAGUGUUGUUGGGUAGGGGAGCGUUCUGUAAGCCUGCGAAGGUGUACUGUGAGGUAUGCUGGAGGUAUCAGAAGUGCGAAUGCUGACAUAAGUAACGAUAAUGCGGGUGAAAAACCCGCACGCCGGAAGACCAAGGGUUCCUGUCCAACGUUAAUCGGGGCAGGGUGAGUCGACCCCUAAGGCGAGGCUGAAAAGCGUAGUCGAUGGGAAACGGGUUAAUAUUCCCGUACUGGUGGUAACUGCGAUGGGGGAACGGAGAAGGCUAGGUUGUCCGGGCGACGGUCGUCCCGGUUCAAGCAGGUAGGCAGAGUGAUUAGGCAAAUCCGGUCACUUAAUGCUGAGAUGUGAUGACGAACCACCAAGGUGGUGAAGCAAUUGAUGCCCCGCUUCCAGGAAAAGCCUCUAAGCUUCAGGUUACCAACAAUCGUACCCCAAACCGACACAGGUGGUCAGGUAGAGAAUACUCAGGCGCUUGAGAGAACUCGGGUGAAGGAACUAGGCAAAAUGGUGCCGUAACUUCGGGAGAAGGCACGCUGGCGGUAGGUAAAGUCCCUUGCGGACGGCGCUGAAGCCAGUCGAAGAUACCAGCUGGCUGCAACUGUUUAUUAAAAACACAGCACUGUGCAAACACGAAAGUGGACGUAUACGGUGUGACGCCUGCCCGGUGCUGGAAGGUUAAUUGAUGGGGUCAGCCGUAAGGCGAAGCUCCUGAUCGAAGCCCCAGUAAACGGCGGCCGUAACUAUAACGGUCCUAAGGUAGCGAAAUUCCUUGUCGGGUAAGUUCCGACCUGCACGAAUGGCGUAAUGAUGGCCAGGCUGUCUCCACCCGAGACUCAGUGAAAUUGAACUCGCUGUGAAGAUGCAGUGUACCCGCGGCAAGACGGAAAGACCCCGUGAACCUUUACUAUAGCUUGACACUGAACAUUGAGCCUUGAUGUGUAGGAUAGGUGGGAGGCUUUGAAGUGUGGACGCCAGUCUGCAUGGAGCCAACCUUGAAAUACCACCCUUUAACGUUUGAUGUUCUAACCUAGGCCCAUAAACUGGGUCGGGGACCGUGUCUGGUGGGUAGUUUGACUGGGGCGGUCUCCUCCUAAAGAGUAACGGAGGAGCACGAAGGUUGGCUAAGCAUGGUCGGACAUCAUGCGGUUAGUGCAAAGGCAUAAGCCAGCUUGACUGCGAGAGUGACGGCUCGAGCAGGUACGAAAGUAGGUCUUAGUGAUCCGGUGGUUCUGAAUGGAAGGGCCAUCGCUCAACGGAUAAAAGGUACUCCGGGGAUAACAGGCUGAUACCGCCCAAGAGUUCAUAUCGACGGCGGUGUUUGGCACCUCGAUGUCGGCUCAUCACAUCCUGGGGCUGAAGUAGGUCCCAAGGGUAUGGCUGUUCGCCAUUUAAAGUGGUACGCGAGCUGGGUUUAGAACGUCGUGAGACAGUUCGGUCCCUAUCUGCCGUGGGCGUUGGAAGAUUUAGAUGGGUUGCUCCUAGUACGAGAGGUCCGGUGUGACCGCACCACUGGUGUUCGGGUUGUCAUGCCAAUGGCAUUGCCCGGUAGCUAAGUGCGGAAGAGAUAACCGCUGAAAGCAUCUAAGCGGGAAACUUGCCUCGAGAUGAGUCUUCCCUGUCGCUUUAAGCGACCUAAAGGAACGUUUAAGACUAAGACGUUGAUAGGCUGGGUGUGUAAGCGUAGCGAUACGUUGAGCUAACCAGUACUAAUGAACCGUGAGGCUUAACCUG